CCUACGGGUGGCUGCAGUGGGGAAUAUUGCACAAUGGGCGCAAGCCUGAUGCAGCGACGCCGCGUGAGCGAUGAAGGCCUUCGGGUCGUAAAGCUCUGUCCUAAGGGAAGAAUAAUGACGGUACCUUAGGAGGAAGCCCCGGCUAACUACGUGCCAGCAGCCGCGGUAAUACGUAGGGGGCGAGCGUUAUCCGGAAUGACUGGGCGUAAAGGGUACGUAGGCGGCUAGAUAAGUCAGAUGUGAAAGGCAUAGGCUUAACCUGUGUAAGCAUUUGAAACUGUCUAGCUUGAGUCAAGGAGAGGAGAGUGGAAUUCCCAGUGUAGCGGUGAAAUGCGUAGAUAUUGGGAGGAACACCAGUUGCGAAGGCGGCUCUCUGGACUGUAACUGACGCUGAGGCACGAAAGCGUGGGGAGCGAACAGGAUUAGAUACCCGUGUAGUC
Molecule: ribosomal RNA, 440 nt
Filed under: uncultured bacterium
Lineage: Bacteria
Description: bacterial SSU rRNA
Rfam family: Bacterial small subunit ribosomal RNA
Source: RNAcentral